This 468-nucleotide ribosomal RNA is filed under the name uncultured bacterium. RNAcentral's name for it is "partial 16S ribosomal RNA". It matches the Rfam family "Bacterial small subunit ribosomal RNA", at positions 27 to 507 of the family's 1533-position model. The record is from RNAcentral.
GGACGAACGCUGGCGGCGUGCUUAACCCAUGCAAGUCGAACGGAAAGGCCUCUUUCGGGGGGUACUCGAGUGGCGAACGGGUGAGUAACACGUGAGUAACCUGCCCUUGACUUUGGGAUAACUUCAGGAAACUGGGGCUAAUACCGGAUAGGAGCUCCUGCUGCAUGGUGGGGGUUGGAAAGUUUCGGCGGUUGGGGAUGGACUCGCGGCUUAUCAGCUUGUUGGUGGGGUAGUGGCUUACCAAGGCUUUGACGGGUAGCCGGCCUGAGAGGGUGACCGGCCACAUUGGGACUGAGAUACGGCCCAGACGCCUACGGGAGGCAGCAGUGGGGAAGAUUGCACAAUGGGUGGAAGCCUGAUGCAGCAACGCCGGGUGCGGGAUGACGGCCUUCGGGUUGUAAACCGCUUUCGCUCAUGACGAAGCUUUGUGUGACGGUAGUGGGUAAAGAAGCACCGGCUAACUACGUG